GAUGAAGAACGUAGCGAAAUGCGAUACUUGGUGUGAAUUGCAGAAUCCCGCGAAUCAUCGAGUUUUUGAACGCAAGUUGCGCCCGAAGCCAUUCGGCCGAGGGCACGUCUGCCUGGGUGUCACGCAUCGUUGCCCCCCCAAACUCCGGUUCGGGCGGGGCGGAAGUUGGCCUCCCGUGCGUGCCUGCGCGCGCGGUUAGCCCAAAAGCGAGUCCUGGCGACGAGCGCCACGACAAUCGGUGGUUUUUUUACCCUCGUUCCUCGUCGUGCGUGUCCCGUCGCCCGAACGCGCUCUUGUGACCCUCACGCGUCGCCUCGGCGGCGCUCCCAACGCGACCCCAGGUCAGGCGGGACUACCCGCUGAGUUUAAGCAUAUCAAUAAGCGGAGGA
Molecule: unclassified non-coding RNA, 389 nt
Filed under: soil metagenome
Description: partial contains 5.8S ribosomal RNA, internal transcribed spacer 2, and large subunit ribosomal RNA
Rfam family: 5.8S ribosomal RNA (bases 1-122)
Source: RNAcentral